Molecule: ribosomal RNA, 848 nt
Filed under: Alternaria orobanches
Lineage: Eukaryota; Fungi; Ascomycota; Dothideomycetes; Pleosporales; Pleosporaceae
Description: Alternaria sp. JL-2021q partial large subunit ribosomal RNA
Rfam family: Eukaryotic large subunit ribosomal RNA
Source: RNAcentral
ACAGGGAUUGCCCUAGUAACGGCGAGUGAAGCGGCAACAGCUCAAAUUUGAAAUCUGGCUCUUUUAGAGUCCGAGUUGUAAUUUGCAGAGGGCGCUUUGGCUUUGGCAGCGGUCCAAGUUCCUUGGAACAGGACGUCACAGAGGGUGAGAAUCCCGUACGUGGUCGCUGGCUAUUGCCGUGUAAAGCCCCUUCGACGAGUCGAGUUGUUUGGGAAUGCAGCUCUAAAUGGGAGGUACAUUUCUUCUAAAGCUAAAUAUUGGCCAGAGACCGAUAGCGCACAAGUAGAGUGAUCGAAAGAUGAAAAGCACUUUGGAAAGAGAGUCAAACAGCACGUGAAAUUGUUGAAAGGGAAGCGCUUGCAGCCAGACUUGCUUGCAGUUGCUCAUCCGGGCUUUUGCCCGGUGCACUCUUCUGCAGGCAGGCCAGCAUCAGUUUGGGCGGUAGGAUAAAGGUCUCUGUCACGUACCUCCUUUCGGGGAGGCCUUAUAGGGGAGACGACAUACUACCAGCCUGGACUGAGGUCCGCGCAUCUGCUAGGAUGCUGGCGUAAUGGCUGUAAGCGGCCCGUCUUGAAACACGGACCAAGGAGUCUAACAUCUAUGCGAGUGUUUGGGUGUCAAGCCCGAGCGCGUAAUGAAAGUGAACGGAGGUGGGAACCCGCAAGGGUGCACCAUCGACCGAUCCUGAUGUCUUCGGAAGGAUUUGAGUAAGAGCAUGGCUGUUGGGACCCGAAAGAUGGUGAACUAUGCUUGAAUAGGGUGAAGCCAGAGGAAACUCUGGUGGAGGCUCGCAGCGGUUCUGACGUGCAAAUCGAUCGUCAAAUUGGGCAUAGGGGCGAAAGACUAAU